GCAGGGAUAGCAAAGUCUGGUCAAAUGCGGCAGACUCAAGCUCUGUUUGCCGCAGCAAGGUUCGAGGGUUCAAAUCCCUCUCCCUGCA
Molecule: transfer RNA, 88 nt
Filed under: Microcaldota archaeon
Lineage: Archaea; Nanobdellati; Microcaldota
Description: Candidatus Micrarchaeota archaeon (hot springs metagenome) tRNA-Leu
Rfam family: tRNA
About the family: Transfer RNA (tRNA) molecules are approximately 80 nucleotides in length. Their secondary structure includes four short double-helical elements and three loops (D, anti-codon, and T loops). Further hydrogen bonds mediate the characteristic L-shaped molecular structure. tRNAs have two regions of fundamental functional importance: the anti-codon, which is responsible for specific mRNA codon recognition, and the 3' end, to which the tRNAs corresponding amino acid is attached (by aminoacyl-tRNA synthetases). tRNAs cope with the degeneracy of the genetic code in two manners: having more than one tRNA (with a specific anti-codon) for a particular amino acid; and 'wobble' base-pairing, i.e. permitting non-standard base-pairing at the 3rd anti-codon position.
Source: RNAcentral